RNAcentral lists this transfer RNA (77 nucleotides) under Oligoflexia bacterium. RNAcentral's name for it is "tRNA-Arg". It matches the Rfam family "tRNA". Rfam says of the family: Transfer RNA (tRNA) molecules are approximately 80 nucleotides in length. The record is from RNAcentral. Lineage: Bacteria; Pseudomonadati; Bdellovibrionota; Oligoflexia.
GGACUCGUAGCUCAGUUGGAUAGAGCGUUAGACUACGGAUCUAAAGGUCGCAGGUUCGACUCCUGCCGGGUCCACCA